This 404-nucleotide ribosomal RNA is filed under the name Fusobacteriota bacterium. RNAcentral describes it as "Fusobacteria bacterium partial 16S ribosomal RNA". It matches the Rfam family "Bacterial small subunit ribosomal RNA", at positions 355 to 776 of the family's 1533-position model. The record is from RNAcentral. Lineage: Bacteria; Fusobacteriati; Fusobacteriota.
UGGGGAAUAUUGCACAAUGGAGGGAACUCUGAUGCAGCGACGCCGCGUGAGUGAUGAAGGAAUUCGUUUCGUAAAACUCUGUUCUAUGGGAAGAAAAGGACUGUACCAUAGGAGAAAGCUCCGGCUAAAUACGUGCCAGCAGCCGCGGUAAUACGUAUGGAGCGAGCGUUGUCCGGAAUUAUUGGGCGUAAAGGGUGCGCAGGCGGCUUUACAAGUUGGAUGUGAAAUAUUGUGGCUCAACCACAAACGUGCAUCCAAAACUGCAAAGCUUGAGUUAAGGAGAGGUAAGUGGAAUUCCUGGUGUAGCGGUGGAAUGCGUAGAUAUCAGGAAGAAUACCGGUGGCGAAGGCGACUUACUGGACUUAAACUGACGCUCAGGCACGAAAGCGUGGAGAGCAAACAGG